This 3074-nucleotide long non-coding RNA is filed under the name Sus scrofa (pig). Its description in RNAcentral is "lncRNA (ENSSSCG00065010760.1)". Lineage: Eukaryota; Metazoa; Chordata; Mammalia; Artiodactyla; Suidae. The record is from RNAcentral.
AGGUCCGGGCAGCCGAAGAGUGUGGUAGGUAACGGUCGUCAGCGCAAGGGUCAUUUCGUCGCUGGGAAGGGACGGCCCUCGCCCGCGGUGAUGGUGGUUAGCAAGAUGAACAAAGAUGCGCAGAUGAGAGCAGCGAUUAACCAAAAGUUGAUAGAAACUGGAGAAAGAGAACGCCUCAAAGAGUUGCUGAGAGCUAAAUUAAUUGAAUGUGGCUGGAAGGAUCAGUUGAAGGCACACUGUAAAGGUAAUUAAAGAAAAAGGACUAGAACACGUUACUGUUGAUGACUUGGUGGCUGAAAUCACACCAAAAGGCAGAGGGAAAAACACUCUUUCCAAAAUUAGCCCUGGUACCUGACAGUGUAAAGAAGGAGCUCCUACAAAGAAUAAGAACAUUCCUUGCUCAGCAUGCCAGCCUUUAAGAUUGAAUUAGAUUGUGUCGUUUUGUGGUUUUAUUUCUGAAAGUAAAACUUGCCAUAAAUUAGGAAUCAAUUUCCCCAAAUAAAAUCCUUUUUUGUAUGAUGGUAUACAGUUUUCAGUAAUGAUGUAUACAUUGUAUUGAUUUUUUUCCCUAAAUGUGUUAUUUUAAUAAAUAUCUCAUGAAUGAGUUUGAAGUUUCCUUGGGUUUUGGAAUAAAUGGGACUUUAUUAAUAAUUCAUCAGAUUUGUUGAGAGAAAAAGUCAGCAAUUAAUAUAGUUUAAGUGUUAAAUAUGUAAAUGUUAAGUAAGCAAAUAUCUGUACUAACAACUGAGAAGUAAACAGCGUCUUCUGAUUGUUUGGAUGUAGUGUAUGCCUCUUGAAUCCCUAUAAUAUUUUAUAAUAUAUGUCCCAUCUUGUACUACAGAUAUCUUAUUUGUUAUUAAUGCUGAGGUUAGGACUAGGUCUUACUCAUCUUUAUGUGCCUUCCUUAUUCCUCAAAGAAUUUACCAUCUUAUUGGAAGAGAGAACAUUUGCAAACUGGCUCCAUACCAAGCUCCUUUCACAUACUCAUCUGAACUUUGAAAGCAGAAACUAAAUUGCAUCCCCACAUACUAAGGUCAAGAAAGAACUUAAUGGGAAAUAAUCUCCGCCCAUAGCUUUACUCUGACAUCAAGAUUGCCAAAUCCAUGGACUUUUGUCUAUUCUUACGUGACCUCUACUGGAAAAGGAGAAUGUUGACCAUCCUGCCACUUGGAACUCUUCCCACUCCUCACGUUGUUUAUACCUACCACUGGAAGCUCCUCCUAUUUCUUGUGGAUAACUUUUGCUGUAUGGAACUUUAAAUAAUGGUGUUUCUUAGUGCCCCCUCUGGGCCCUCUGCCUGAUAAAAUUUCCUGGGCAAAUCCCAGGAAACUUGGGUCGGACCAUGGCUUCAAACACUAACAGGUUGACAAAUGAUAAACUGCAUCUCCAGCCCAGCCUCCAGAUCCAUAUACUCAACUGCUACGGAUCAGACUCCUUGAAUGUUCCAUAAACACCUCAAACUGACCACUCCUAAGAGUGAUUUUUCUGUUUCCUCCAGUAACUUCCCUUACUGUGUUUCUAUUCUCUGAGUGGUGCCUCCCAGAUAUACAGAUUACCCAAGGAACUUGUUAAAAUAAUGAUUCUAAAGGUAAGGGAUAUGGCACAAAAUUCUGUAUUUCAGACAAGCUUCUCAAACAUGCUUAUGCUGCUGAUCAAGGCCAGUUUGAGUGUAGCAAGGCUGUGUGUUGCUCAUUCCCUGCCCUCUUAGUUGAAGUCCAGAUUAGUGCAGUAGGCUUUUAGUAUUUCCUUGCUCCAGUUGCCCCAUGCCUCCUCCAGUAUAUCUUCCACAUUAUUGCCUAAGUGACCUUACCAAAAUUCAAGCCUGAUCAUUUUAUUCUCCUACUUGAAAUUUCUCAAUGACUUCCUAGUUUGCAGGGUAAAAUUCAAGUUCAGCCAUAGCACCUAGACACUUCUUGAUCUGCCAUUCACUAAUUUCUCUGAUUUGUCUAAAGAGUCCCCCAGAGUUCUUUCAUCUCUAAAUAAUUUGAAAAUCCAUCAACCUAGAACGCAUUCUACCUACCUCAUUCCCACUUGCCCUUCAGAAUCCAGCCUGAGUUGUUGCUGAAAUAUUCUGAUGUUUCUUGUUUAGAUUCCCCACUACUGUUUUUCUUUAAGAAGCACCUGUGUGUAAUUUCAACUCAGUGGUUUUCCAACUUUAGCCUGCAUCUUCUGGAGGGGAGGAAACCUGGCUUUGAUUUUUAUUUCGUAUGAAACUUAUUUGUGGAUGAAUGGAUGAGGGAAUGAAUAUAUGAAUGAACUAUUGAACAUUGUUGGAGCAGAGAAGUUUACAAUUGAGUGUAGCUGAGGAAAGCCUUUGUUAAUUUUUGGUUCAUAUUCUAGGGAUAAAACCUGAUGAAUUUACAUUUUAAGUGUAGUCACUGAACCAACUGUACUUAGUUAUGUAAAUUUUGAGUCCAAGGCACACACAAAAUCAUGAAAUUACCCCAAAGAGUUUUUUGUUCACUUCAUCUCAUAAAGCAAUGAUACAAAGUAAUGAUAGCCAUAUUCAUCAUUCUACUACCAAUUAUCAAAAAGGAAACAAUCUCAAAUGGUAUAUAAAAAAAUGUUUAAAACAAGUCGUUCUUAUUUCAUUACUGUAUGUGAAAGCAAACCAAAAAUUGCUCAUAGACUAUUUUAAUAGCUCAAAAGCAAAUACAAGGAAAUGGAAAGUAAGUUACAAAAAAUUUUGUAAUGGAACAAAAAAUAACAAUAAAAAAUAACAGCAAUUCAAAAUACUAAAGAACAUAGCAUUAAAAUGAUAAUGCCGAAAACUCCCCCACCGCCUCUAGGUUUUUUUGACAUCUUAGAAAUUAUCUUACAGUUUGCACCUAGAACCAUUGAUAUCUUUCAAAUAAAUCAACUUUGUGUAUACCUUGACUCACAUCAUUGAUUUAUGUAAACUAGGAAUACAUUCUUCAAAAAUCUUGCACCCUUUUCUGCUCAAUGUUGGAAAUUCAGUAGGAGAUUACUGUUACAUGACUGCACUGGUGAGUAAAAUACUAAUUAGGAUUACUAUAAGCGCCUCUUGUAUAGGAUUAAAGAAGACCCAACUAAAUUAUUUAUGUAAUCACUUU